UUAUCACACUCGUAGGGGCCUUAGAGGCCUCCCAUACGACCUUGAAACCAACGCAAGCUAGAGUCAGUGAGCCAAACCAGAAAUGGAAAGCCCUCGCCAAAUCGCAUCAGAUAGAACCAAGCAUGCCACGGCAAUAUGGAAGACGGCAUUGAAUACCUCUUGGUAAACUACAUCACACUGGAAAUUAUUGGACGUCAACAGAUAAGACCUGUGGUCGUGAGCUAGGAUCCGUUACGAAGACUGAAACAUGCCUGGAUUGACAGCGGUUGUCACGGACCAAACGAACGUCAUUAAAUAAAAU
Pollicipes pollicipes is the source of this 301-nucleotide long non-coding RNA. RefSeq lists it as uncharacterized. NCBI's taxonomy places the organism in Eukaryota, Metazoa, Arthropoda, Thecostraca, Pollicipedomorpha, Pollicipedidae. The record is from RefSeq and is a predicted model, not a curated record. The transcript is spliced from 3 exons.